UAUGAUGCUGGAGAUAGAAUGUAG
This 24-nucleotide non-coding RNA is filed under the name Cricetulus griseus (Chinese hamster). Lineage: Eukaryota; Metazoa; Chordata; Mammalia; Rodentia; Cricetidae. The record is from RNAcentral.